RNAcentral lists this long non-coding RNA (815 nucleotides) under Cricetulus griseus (Chinese hamster). RNAcentral's name for it is "lncRNA (ENSCGRG00015031346.1)". Lineage: Eukaryota; Metazoa; Chordata; Mammalia; Rodentia; Cricetidae. The record is from RNAcentral.
GGUUUCUCUUUUGGGCUUGCAUACAGACUGCUGCCACGCCGGCUGGCUAGGUCGCUCUGUAAAUGGGUACCGUAACACACAAUGGCCACAGAGAAGUGAGGCCGUGGAUGCCUUUUCUUCCCCAGCAAGCUUCAACACCUCCCAGCACUAUGGAUGCUAGCCGGAAGGAAGUCUCAUGCUCAGUUCCAGCUUUAUGCCUGAAUCAAGGAUGUAAAGCUCUCAGCUACUGCUCCAGUGCCAUGAAUGCCACCAUGUUUCCCACCAUGAUGAUAAUGGACUAAACCACUGAAACCAUAAUCAAGUCCCAAUUAAAUGCCUUGGUCAUGGUGUCUCUUCACAGCAGCAUAACAGUGACUAAGACAAGUGUCUUAGUAAGAGCAAUGCAAACAGCUCACAAGGACGCACUCUGCAUUUGGCACCAAGAUUUUUAUUUCAAAACAUGUGGCUACUGGAGACAUCUUUAUCCACCUGUGCAAAGUACAUCAAUUCUAACUUUUUCUUUUAUUUUUAAAUUAUAUGUUAGCUUGUUUAUAAAAUCCAUAUGAUUUUUUCAUAUCUCCUUUGUUUUAAUUGAACUUCCCUACAACCUCAAACAUUUCCCUAUGCCCCCAUCCCCAUUUAAACCUUUCCACCCCUGGCAUUCCCUCUCUCUACUUUUGUAUCUCUCGUGUUUUACUAUCUAACCACAAGACCCUCCUCCCUCUGCCUUAUGGCUCUUUCUUACUCCCUGGCCUUUAUGACAGUCACUCUCAUAUAAACAGAGAAAUCUGACAUUUCAAAGGUAGGAUCUACAUAUGACUGAGCAUUUGUCUUCC